GAUGAACGCUGGCGGCGUGCCUAAUACAUGCAAGUCGAGCGACCAGACGAGGAGCUUGCUCCCCUGACGUUAGCGGCGGACGGGUGAGUAACACGUGGAUAACCUACCUCUAUGACUGGGAUAAUUUCGGGAAACCGGAGCUAAUACCGGCUCAUAUAUUGAACCGCAUGGUUCAAUAGUUAAUGACGCCUUUGCUGUCUCUUAUAGAUGAUUCCGCGGCGCAUUAGCUAGUUGGUAAGGUAACGGCUUACCAAGGCGACGAUGCGUAGCCGACCUGAGAGGGUGAUCGGCCACACUGGAACUGAGACACGGUCCAGACUCCUACGGGAGGCAGCAGUAGGGAAUCUUGCGCAAUGGGCGAAAGCCUGACGGAGCAACGCCGCGUGAGUGAUGAAGGUCUUCGGAUCGUAAAGCUCUGUUGUUAGGGAAGAAAAAAUGUGGAAGUAAAUAUGCACGUUUUGACGGUACCUAAUCAAAAAGCCACGGCUAACUUCGUG
This 497-nucleotide ribosomal RNA is filed under the name uncultured bacterium. RNAcentral describes it as "partial 16S ribosomal RNA". It matches the Rfam family "Bacterial small subunit ribosomal RNA", at positions 28 to 507 of the family's 1533-position model. The record is from RNAcentral.